Pelodiscus sinensis (Chinese soft-shelled turtle) is the source of this 662-nucleotide non-coding RNA. The record is from RefSeq and is a predicted model, not a curated record. NCBI's taxonomy places the organism in Eukaryota, Metazoa, Chordata, Testudines, Trionychidae.
GUUCUCUGCAACUACAGAGAGGGAGAAGCAUGUCUCUCUCUCUCCAAGACACCAUUCUUCAAUUUCUCAAAUGGAUGGACAAACAUCUCUGGUGUGGCAAGAAACUAGUUUCUCACCUCUACGGGGAGCAACAGCUUGAUGCAAACUAUAAGAAGAAAAAAGCCAGACGAUAAAGAUGCUCUCUCCAUUUCAAUGUUCAUCCAUAAGAAGACUUCAUCUACUGCAAUCAGACAUUGUAGAAUCAGAAGAUCCACAUAACUGGCAUCCAAGAGUUAUAAAAGUGCUUUCUGAGGAGUUCGCUGCACCAUUAAUAUUGAUUUCUAGUAAGUCUUGGAAUACCGGGGAAGUUCCAGAAGACUGGAAGAAAUGGGCCAGGAUUAAAAAAGAGUAACCAGUUUGACAUUGGUGUAACAUUCAAGAUAAUGAAAUGGCUAAGAGUAAUAAAAUUAAUUCCAAUCACCAUGGGGUUAUGAAAAACAGAUCUUGUCAAAGUAAACUGAUUUUUAUAUGAGAUUACAAGUUUCGUCUAUGAAAGUAGGCGUGUUGAUAUAAUGUACAUCGACUUCUGUUCAGUAUUUGACUUGGUACUACACAUUUUGAUUGAAAAACUCUAGUAAAUUAAAGGUAAAUGUUAAAUAAAUAAAAACCGUCCAAGUUUCAAA